UUGUUGAAAGGGAAGCGCUUGCAGUUAGACUUGAUUUAUCAAUUCAGCUUUCUCAUGGGAAAGUGUACUUUUGAUUAAUCAGGCCAGCAUCAGUUUGAGCAGGUAUAAAAAUGUAGUUGGAAUGUAGCUUUCACUUCGGUGGAAGUGUUAUAGACUUCUAUAUCAUGUAUUUCGUUCAGACUGAGGUCCGCCAUUCUUUGUAGGAUGCUGGCAUAAUGACUGUAAGCGGCCCGUCUUGAAACACGGACCAAGGAGUCGACCUAUUAUGCGAGUGUUUGAGUGUUAAACUCACACGCGUAAUGAAAGUGAACGGAGGUACGAAUUCGCAAGAAUGCAGUAUCGACCGAUCCUGAAGUUUACGGAUGGAUUUGAGUAUGAGCAGAAUGGGUCGGACCCGAAAGAUGGUGAUCUAUGCGUGAAUAGGGUGAAGCCAGAGGAAACUCUGGUGGAGGCUCGCAGCGGUUCUGACGUGCAAAUCGAUCGUCAAAUCUGCGCAUAGGGGCGAAAGACUAAUCGAACCAUCUAGUAGCUGGUUCCUGCCGAAGUUUCCCUCAGGAUAGCAGUAAUGAAUAAACAGUCUCAUGAGGUAGAGCGAACGAUUAGAGGCCUUGGGGCAGUAACUGCCUUAACCUAUUCUCGAACUUCGAAUAUGUGAGAAGUCCUUGUUACUUAAUUGAACGUGGACAUUUGGAUGUAUCAUUAUUAGUGGGCCAUUUUUGG
This 720-nucleotide ribosomal RNA is filed under the name Acarospora thamnina. RNAcentral's name for it is "eukaryotic LSU rRNA". It matches the Rfam family "Eukaryotic large subunit ribosomal RNA", at positions 405 to 1140 of the family's 3401-position model. Lineage: Eukaryota; Fungi; Ascomycota; Lecanoromycetes; Acarosporales; Acarosporaceae. The record is from RNAcentral.